Molecule: unclassified non-coding RNA, 192 nt
Filed under: Phlegmacium triumphans
Lineage: Eukaryota; Fungi; Basidiomycota; Agaricomycetes; Agaricales; Cortinariaceae
Description: partial internal transcribed spacer 2
Source: RNAcentral
AUAUAUCAACCUCUUCAGCUUGUCGAGUGUUGGAUGUGGGGGGUCUUUUUUUGCUGGUUUUUCAGAUCAGCUCCCCUGAAAUGCAUUAGCAGAACAAUUUGUGGAUCGUUCAUUGGUGUGAUAACUAUCUACGCUAUUGACGUGAAGCAGUUUGGCUUCUAAUAGUCUAUUGAAUUGGACAAAUUUUCAUUA